This is a long non-coding RNA of Lutra lutra (Eurasian river otter), 573 nucleotides long. RefSeq lists it as uncharacterized. NCBI's taxonomy places the organism in Eukaryota, Metazoa, Chordata, Mammalia, Carnivora, Mustelidae. The record is from RefSeq and is a predicted model, not a curated record. The transcript has 4 exons.
UCAGGCUGGUUCUGUGUGGGGGAAGGGAAAGGCUUUCCUUUAGCUUGAUCAUGCCUUCAGGACUUCCCCAGCUGAGGAGGGAGAAUGAAAUAGGAGCUUUCAGAGUCUGCUUCACUUGUGGCUGGUUCCACAUUGCUCACAGACGGGAGAGAGGAAAUUUCUGCUUCUGAGGACCCACCAGGGAAAAAAUCGAAGAAAUGGCUGGAAUGUACAGAUGGAACUCCUCACAUGGUGCUUACCAAUUCUUGCUGCUUCUUAGAAACUGCCCUCCUGAGGGAUGAGGACCCGGGCUGUUCUUAAUAACUGUCCUAAUUCUUGGAUAUGUCUGGGGUUACCACAAGCCCUACAUUACCUGGAUUAAUGUACAUGACAACCCAAGGAGCACAACAAUCACUAUCAGGAACUGGGAUUUGUGAGAUAUGAAAUCACCAAGAAUGUGGACCUUUUGUAAUUAAUUAAGACAAGGUUAGGGGCACCUGGGUGGCUCAGUGGUUAAGCCUCUGCUCAGGUAAUGAUCUCAGAGUUCUGGGAUCAAGCCCUACAUCUGGCUCUCUGCUCAGCGGGGAGCCUGCU